UGCCUCAGUAACGGCGAGUGAAGCGGCAACAGCUCAAAUUUGAAAUCUGGCCUCUUCGGGGUCCGAGUUGUAAUUUGUAGAGGAUGUUUCGGGUACCGCCUCGGUUUAAAUUUCUUGGAACAGAAUGUCAGAGAGGGUGAGAAUCCCGUCUUGGACCGGCGGUAGGGCCCAUGUGAAACUCCUUCGACGAGUCGAGUUGUUUGGGAAUGCAGCUCAAAAUGGGUGGUAAAUUUCAUCUAAAGCUAAAUAUUGGCCAGAGACCGAUAGCGCACAAGUAGAGUGAUCGAAAGAUGAAAAGAACUUUGAAAAGAGAGUUAAACAGUAUGUGAAAUUGUUGAAAGGGAAGCGCUUACAACCAGACUUGAGCGCGGCGGUUCCCCCUUCCUUUUGGUUGGGUUACUCCGCCGUGUCCAGGCCAACAUCGGUUCUGGGGGUCGGUUAAAGGCCUGGGGAAUGUAUCUACUCCUUCGGGGGUAGACUUAUAGCCCCGGGUGUCAUGCGACCACCCGGGACCGAGGAACGCGCUUCGGCUCGGAUGUUGGCGUAAUGGUUGUCAGCGACCCGUCUUGAAACACGGACCAAGGAGUCUAACAUCUAUGCGAGUGUUUGGGUGUCAAACCCGGAACGCGAAAUGAAAGUGAACGGAGGUAGGAAGCCUUUAGGCUGCACUAUCGACCGAUCCUGAUGUCUUCGGAUGGAUUUGAGUAAGAGCAUAGCUGUUGGGACCCGAAAGAUGGUGAACUAUGCCUGAAUAGGGUGAAGCCAGAGGAAACUCUGGUGGAGGCUCGCAGCGGUUCUGACGUGCAAAUCGAUCGUCAAAUUUGGGUAUAGGGGCGAAAGACUAAUCGAACCAUCUGGUAGCUGGUUCCUGCCGAAGUUUCCCUCAGGAUAGCAGUAACGAAAUCAGUUUUAUGAGGUAAAGCGAAUGAUUAGAGGCCUUGGGGUUGAAACAACCUUAACCUAUUCUCAAACUUUAAAUAUGUAAGAAGCCCUUGUUGCUUAAUUGAACGUGGGCAUUUGAAUGUAUCGUUACUAGUGGGCCAUUUUUGGUAAGCAGAACUGGCGAUGCGGGAUGAACCGAACGUGAGGUUAAGGUGCCGGAAUGCACGCUCAUCAGACACCACAAAAGGUGUCAAUGCAUCUAGACAGCCGGACGGUGGCCAUGGAAGUCGGAAUCCGCUUAGGAGUGUGUAACAACUCACCGGCCGAAUGCAUUGGCCCUGAAAAUGGAUGGCGCUUAAGCGUGCUACCUAUACCUCGCCGUUAGGGUUGACAUGAUGCCCUAACGAGUAGGCAGGCGUGGAGGUCCGUGACGAAGCC
Molecule: ribosomal RNA, 1320 nt
Filed under: Chaetothyriales sp. FGPMC6
Lineage: Eukaryota; Fungi; Ascomycota; Eurotiomycetes; Chaetothyriales
Description: eukaryotic LSU rRNA
Rfam family: Eukaryotic large subunit ribosomal RNA
Source: RNAcentral